CCCAUCCCAUCCCACUCCCACAAA
RNAcentral lists this non-coding RNA (24 nucleotides) under Arabidopsis thaliana (thale cress). The record is from RNAcentral. Lineage: Eukaryota; Viridiplantae; Streptophyta; Magnoliopsida; Brassicales; Brassicaceae.